AGUUUGAUCCUGGCUCAGGACGAACGCUAGCUACAGGCUUAACACAUGCAAGUCGAGGGGCAGCAUGGUCUUAGCUUGCUAAGGCCGAUGGCGACCGGCGCACGGGUGAGUAACACGUAUCCAACCUGCCGUCUACUCUUGGACAGCCUUCUGAAAGGAAGAUUAAUACAAGAUGGCAUCAUGAGUCCGCAUGUUCACAUGAUUAAAGGUAUUCCGGUAGACGAUGGGGAUGCGUUCCAUUAGAUAGUAGGCGGGGUAACGGCCCACCUAGUCUUCGAUGGAUAGGGGUUCUGAGAGGAAGGUCCCCCACAUUGGAACUGAGACACGGUCCAAACUCCUACGGGAGGCAGCAGUGAGGAAUAUUGGUCAAUGGGCGAGAGCCUGAACCAGCCAAGUAGCGUGAAGGAUGACUGCCCUAUGGGUUGUAAACUUCUUUUAUAAAGGAAUAAAGUCGGGUAUGCAUACCCGUUUGCAUGUACUUUAUGAAUAAGGAUCGGCUAACUCCGUGCCAGCAGCCGCGGUAAUACGGAGGAUCCGAGCGUUAUCCGGAUUUAUUGGGUUUAAAGGGAGCGUAGAUGGAUGUUUAAGUCAGUUGUGAAAGUUUGCGGCUCAACCGUAAAAUUGCAGUUGAUACUGGAUAUCUUGAGUGCAGUUGAGGCAGGCGGAAUUCGUGGUGUAGCGGUGAAAUGCUUAGAUAUCACGAAGAACUCCGAUUGCGAAGGCAGCCUGCUAAGCUGCAACUGACAUUGAGGCUCGAAAGUGUGGGUAUCAAACAGGAUUAGAUACCCUGGUAGUCCACACGGUAAACGAUGAAUACUCGCUGUUUGCGAUAUACAGCAAGCGGCCAAGCGAAAGCGUUAAGUAUUCCACCUGGGGAGUACGCCGGCAACGGUGAAACUCAAAGGAAUUGACGGGGGCCCGCACAAGCGGAGGAACAUGUGGUUUAAUUCGAUGAUACGCGAGGAACCUUACCCGGGCUUAAAUUGCAGAUGAAUUACGGUGAAAGCCGUAAGCCGCAAGGCAUCUGUGAAGGUGCUGCAUGGUUGUCGUCAGCUCGUGCCGUGAGGUGUCGGCUUAAGUGCCAUAACGAGCGCAACCCUUGUUGUCAGUUACUAACAGGUUCUGCUGAGGACUCUGACAAGACUGCCAUCGUAAGAUGUGAGGAAGGUGGGGAUGACGUCAAAUCAGCACGGCCCUUACGUCCGGGGCUACACACGUGUUACAAUGGGGGGUACAGAGGGCCGCUACCACGCGAGUGGAUGCCAAUCCCAAAAACCUCUCUCAGUUCGGACUGGAGUCUGCAACCCGACUCCACGAAGCUGGAUUCGCUAGUAAUCGCGCAUCAGCCACGGCGCGGUGAAUACGUUCCCGGGCCUUGUACACACCGCCCGUCAAGCCAUGGGAGCCGGGGGUACCUGAAGUGCGUAACCGCGAGGAGCGCCCUAGGGUAAAACUGGUNACUGGGGCUAAGUCGUAACAAGGUAUCC
Molecule: ribosomal RNA, 1487 nt
Filed under: uncultured bacterium
Lineage: Bacteria
Description: bacterial SSU rRNA
Rfam family: Bacterial small subunit ribosomal RNA
Source: RNAcentral